GUUGGCUUUUUCAAGUUCACUCUUGUUCAUAACUUCCAGGAAGAGCCCAUCUUCAAUUGACAUUGCUUCCUGAUUGUCAUCCUUUGCUCUCCUGAACACUGUGCAUCCUAAGUCGUCUUGGUCCCUGUCAUAGAUAUUGCUGUCACAGAGGGAACUUAGGAGAGGAAGAAGUACAGGGUUGCUGUGUGGUAGCUCCUUUAUGAGGAUGUGAU
This is a non-coding RNA of Pelobates cultripes (western spadefoot toad), 212 nucleotides long. Lineage: Eukaryota; Metazoa; Chordata; Amphibia; Anura; Pelobatidae. The record is from the annotation of a GenBank genome assembly.